Molecule: long non-coding RNA, 358 nt
Organism: Helianthus annuus (common sunflower)
Lineage: Eukaryota; Viridiplantae; Streptophyta; Magnoliopsida; Asterales; Asteraceae
Exons: 2
Source: RefSeq, a predicted model, not a curated record
GCUUCUAACAAAUGUAAACAUUGUUGAUGUGUAUGUACAACCUUACCAUGAUGUUAGACAUGAAGGGGUUGUUUGUUUUUUUUAAGAAGAGUUUCCUGACCUUUUAUGUCUGCGUCGUGCAGACUACACGUAGACCUUUGGAUCUGAAGACUGUUUGUUUUCUCGAAGAUCUUUCAUUAAAAAAGGUAUGUGCAUCCUCUUCUUGGGGCAGAUGUGGACUCAAGUCUUCAAACCUCCCUUCUCCCUUUCACAAAGCCACCGCUCCUCCCUUCUCCCUUCUCCAUUUCGACGUCAUGACUCACGUUCAAAUCGACCUCUCCUACAGUUGAAUUGCUGUAGCUUAGUGCUUGCAGAAGUU